UGGAUCCGCAGUGCCUGGAUGGAACCUGGC
RNAcentral lists this non-coding RNA (30 nucleotides) under Homo sapiens (human). The record is from RNAcentral. Lineage: Eukaryota; Metazoa; Chordata; Mammalia; Primates; Hominidae.